RNA transcript from Melozone crissalis (California towhee), 6952 nucleotides. It is a transcript of the gene named adenosine deaminase tRNA specific 1, with no coding region annotated. The transcript is spliced from 11 exons. NCBI's taxonomy places the organism in Eukaryota, Metazoa, Chordata, Aves, Passeriformes, Passerellidae. The record is from RefSeq and is a predicted model, not a curated record.
CCGGAGGUUCGGUCGUCGCCGCCCGUCCUGGCGGCGCAGGAGCAGCGGCGCCGGUGUCCCGGCGGGUAGGCAGGGGCCUGCAGGGAUUGCAGCGGCGCCGGUGUCCCGGCGGAACCUGCACGUUCGAAUCAAGAGCCAUGUGGUCAGCUGAUGAAAUCGCUGGGUUAUGUUACCUGCAUUACAGGACCAGACUUCCUAAGCAGGGGAAACCAGAUCCAAACAGGGAAUGGACUUCCCUGGCAGCUGUUGUCAAAGUGGAAUCAGCAGCCCAAGGAGAGGCUCUUGAUAGUCCAGGAAACUUGCAGGUAACUAAGGAAGUUGUUGCUAUGGGAACUGGAACAAAAUGCAUUGGCCAAAACAAAAUGCGAAAAACUGGAGACAUUCUGAAUGACAGCCAUGCUGAAAUUGUGGCCAAGAGGAGCUUCCAGAGGUAUCUUCUCCAUCAGUUGUGGCUUGCAGCUUCCCAUCAGCAAUGCAUUUUUAGUCCGGGAACUGAAACUGGGAAAUGGAAACUCAAACCAAAUAUUAUCUUUAUUUUCUUCUCCAGCCAUACCCCAUGUGGAGAUGCUUCUAUUUUUCCAAUCAGUGAACCAGAGAACCAGCUUCCUAAGCCAGUGACUGAAGGUCAUGCAGCUGGACAAUCAGCAGAAUGUAGAAGUGACCAUAAUGACUUAUGUCCAGAAGAUGUAAGAAAAUCAGAGAAGAUGGCAAGGAAUUGUAUAAUCAAGAGAAUGAAAACUGAUGAUGGUGGUUGUUUUUCCAUAACCACUGAAGACCUGGCUGUUCAGCAUGGAUCUGUGAAACGAGAAGACAACGCAAAUCAGAAGAGCUGUCAAUGUUCUGCAGAGAUGCAGACAGCUAAUAAGGAGAGUGGCUUAGUGAGACCAAAGGUAGUAGAUGUUCACAGAACUGGAGCCAAAUGUGUACCUGGAGAGCUAGAUGAUGCCCGAAUACCUGGGCUGGGGUACCACUGUGUGGGAUUAUUACGAGUGAAGCCAGGUCGAGGAGACAGAACAUGCUCUAUGUCCUGCAGUGAUAAACUGGCUCGCUGGAAUGUGUUAGGGUGUCAAGGAGCUCUUCUGAUGCAUUUUCUGCAGUAUCCAGUGUAUCUGUCAGCAGUUAUUGUGGGAAAGUGUCCAUAUAGCCAAGAAGCUAUGCGGAGAGCAGUUAUUGAAAGGUGUCAGCGCAUCUCAUCUUUACCGGGUGGUUUUCUCACUCAGGAGGUUAAGCUGCAGCAAUCAGAUCUUCAAUUUGAACAUAGCCGACAGGCAAUUCAGGAAGUUCAAAGUAACAGCAAAACAAAACUUGUUCCUUGUAGUGCAGCUAUCAGUUGGAGUGCAGUCCCUGAACAACCUCUGGAUGUCACCUCAGACGGCUUCCGCCAGGGAACAACAAAGAAGGGGAUUGGGAGCCAGCAGAGCAGAUCCAAAAUCUGUAAAGUGGAACUCUUCCAUAAAUUCCAAAAGCUGGUGACAAGUAUUUCACAAGAGGAUCUACCAGACUCUCUACGGAUGAAGACACUAAAAACCUACUGGGACUACAAGGAAGCUGCGUUAAAUUAUCAAGAAGCCUGGAGAGUGCUGCGUAGCCAAGCUCUGCUGGGUUGGGUCAGGAAUGCCAAGGAAUACCUGCACUUCACAUGAGAAUCCAUGUGACUAUGUGAAUCCAGGAAUAAGCUCUGGUCCACAGCAGAUACCUUUGUAAUUCAAGGGCCAGAAAACGACACCCUCUAGUUUAUGUGCUGUGAAGAGACAGGAGUGAAAAGGAAAGCCAUUUAGAGAAUAAUUUUAUUUUUACUGAGUUGAAGCCCCCUUUUUAUUGAAAUAUAGAAAAGGAUCACUGCUGACUUUAAAUUCUGAGCUGCAUGAAAUAAUAUGCUUCCAAAAGAAAGGAAGCAGUGCUGUGCUAUCCUGGUAUCUGAAAGUAGAGCCUACCAGCCAUAGUCAUUGCAGUGAAAGAAAUGUCAACUGAAAUUCAAGCAUUAUUAUGGAAAAUUUUAGUGCCACUUUUUUCUUCCACUUCUCAUAAUGUUAUUGUUUUUCUGUUGCUGGGACAACCCUCAUGUAUAGUAAGUAAUACUUUCAUAAUUCUGAGCUCUUCUUGUCUGGUGCAUGGAAGAAUUUUCUAUGUCCCUCAGCCCCAUUGCUUCUAACUGGAAAAACUAGUUCUGUUAAAGUGUCUCUUUUUGUGGGAAUCCUUAAUAUAUGCUGCUAUUUGCUAAACAUAGCCGCAGAUAUUGUCACAGCAGAAGCAAAAGCACUGGGAAGGAGUCUGUGUCAAAUAAUACUACUUAUGAUAUUCUGUGCAUCUCAGUUUCAGGACUUUGCCAGAUAACAUUUCAACUGCUUUGCCUCUGUAGGCAGGAAAGAAAACUCCUGAAUGACUUGGUUCAAAUUGGCCAAUCCUGUGUAAUUACUGGCAAACAUUUACCUACUUUUCAGUGUUUCAAGCACCGUCCAUCUCCGUGCUCCCUUGUGGGAAAUGGUCAGUUAAAAGCAGAAAUGCUUCAGCUAUUUAUGUCACUGGCCCUUGUGUUCAUUAAUAGCUUGGCAAAGGUGGAGAUGCUUUGGGGAGUAUUGAAAGUAGUCUCUGGCAUGUUCCUUCUAUUUUCUCUUGCCAUUAUGCUUUAUUACCAACUAACAUCUGCAUGACAAGACAGUCAACACUGAGCAGUUGUGGGGGAAGCAGUGUGUAAUCCUCCUUAAACCUUCUGUUCCAGUUAUUGCCUUUUGUGAGCAAUUUCAGGACUGUGUAACUGCUCCUGAGCCCAUUCCCCUUUUGUAUUUUUCUCUUGUAAACCACGAUUCAUAAAAUAUUUGGACAAGGCAAUGUCAGGAUGAAGGAAGUGGAUAAUUUAGAACUUGAAAAUUCCUUAGUGAUUUGAUUUUUUUUUGUUCUUUGGUGGUCUAUAGUUUUGGAUUUGAAAAAUGGGCACAGCAGUUCUCCAAACAGCCUUUUUUGUCAACCUACUGAGCUACAUAUGGGACCAAACAGUACACAUAACGUUACAGUAUGAGAAGUGAUAGCAGCAAAUCCUUGUUACUUCACACUCAGGCUAACUUGUCAAGUAAGAAUAGUUCUCUUGUUGAAGAAGUAACAACUUGAAUUCUGUGUGUAUAUGCCCAUUCUCUCAAAUCCAGAACUAACAUGCAGAAAUACCAGUUGUACUGGUGAGGGGGAAGUAAUUUUAUGUGUUUGUAGAGGGCAAGGGAUUAUGGAGAUUAGGGACUUGCAGUAGUCAUCAGAGGAUAAAAAAUGGCCAGAUGCCAUUGCACAUGGGUUACAGGGUGAACUGCUGAAAAUAAAUGGUAGCUGUUCCUGUAAUCGAGCAAGUAGUAUUCCAAGGACAGAGUUCUAUAGUGUACCUAAAGAGCUAUCAGUAGAUUUCCAGGUUCCUGACAUUUGCCUUUGCUGAAAUCUUGCAGAAACUAUUAACUUACCAUACCUAGUUUCGCAUAGUUAAUCAACAAUGUCUGCAGUGAACCUGCUGACCAGACUGGAAUGUUCCCAUUUCCUAUUCAGCUGCAAUAUUAAAAUGGGUUACAUAAGACUAGUUCUGUAGUCAUGCAUCAGUUUUCACAUAAGCAGUUAUAUGGUUUAAAUUCUUCUAACUCUUUUAUACAAUUUGAGCCUGGCUGUUAGGAUUGUUGCUGGUAAGAUUUUUUUGUGAAUUUCUAAAAUACUUGUGAACUGUCAACUGUUGCUGUUUUGUUGCCUGUCAGAUUUAAAAGUAGUUUUUGAGGUGCUGAACACUGAUGCUAACUUCACUUCUUGGAUGGAGCUGAGGAUAUAUUUAAGCCUUGAGCAAGUCAGUGAAUAUGCAAAGAGAAGGAAAGAGCUGAAACAGAACAGCAUUUGAAAGGCUGAGGGGCUAAGCCUGUGGGAGCUCAUCCUCGACUGGAUGGCAUUUCUGUGACGGAAAAUCAGUAUUUAAAUGCUGCAUUUGUUUCAUUUGAAAAUGUCAGGAAAUGCUGUUGGCAGUACCAUGAAACUGAUCUAAAAAUCAGAAGGGAAAAAUGCAGAGAUAGGAAAGAACAGUCUCUGCUUUUGUAAUUGGUAGCAAACUAAACUUGGAUCACUGUCAGCAGGUCUUUGGAAGAAUUGCUCCUGGAAAGGAACAGUUGAUAUGUUCCAAGCCUGUAUCACUCCUUUGCGCUGGUAUAGCUGAUACCCCGAAAAACAAAGAUAGGCAGGGCACAGGGAGGACAGCAGAAUGCAGAGACUCUGCCACAGGAAAGCAGAGUUGGCAGGGAGGGAAGCAGCAGGAAUGAAGUGCCCACAGUGCAUGGUUAAUGAGGACAAGCAAACAAGUGGGAGUUGAGAGCAGCAGAGCACAGGAAGGCACCAAGAUUCCCACCAUAUGUGUAAAAUGAGCACAUCUGUAUUACCCAGAUAGGGCCUUGCCUGUCCCAAACUUGUUUGGAGACCAGUGGCUCUUAAUUGCCAGGACAAAGAAACUGUAAUCAUUGAGUAGAAUGUCUCUAACAGCAUCACUGUUAGAGGUGUUAUUCUGUUUUCAGUCCUAGUAAGAAGGCAGGACAGACUCCCUGCAUAUCUUGAAGGAAGUCAAAACUGGAGCAUAGAAACAAGUGGUUUUCUCCAAGGGUGAGAGUAAUCAUGUUUGACCUUGAGGCUGCAGUUCCACAAAACCAGAUGUUAGCAUCCCACUGUCUUUGGAAAAGCAAGGUUUUGAUCUUCACCGUGUACUUCCACUGCUCACCUUAACACAGGCUGGAAGGCUUACUGAUCUCAGUACAUUGCGAGUAAACUGAAAAAUAUUUAAAUUGCUAUAUUUGUAGAAAAACAAACCACCAGCCCAAAACAAGAUGCAGCCUUUCACUAGGAGUAAAAAGAUCUCUGCAAUAAAUCCGUUAAGCAUUAGAGGAAAGGAAGAGCCGGGGUUGUGCGGCUGAGGGCAGAAUUCUGUUGGCAAGGAGGAAAGAAAGGCAUGGGAGUUUUGUCUCAGACUAUCUGAUAAUGUCAUAAGAGGGCUGCAGCAACAACAGGUACAUAAUACACACAACUAAAAUAUAUACAUGUAGAAGCAAGGUAUUUCUUGAGGAAAGACCAUGUAAAUGGUCUAAAUUUGGUCUAUAAUAAUGUCUAUAAUGUGAUAAUGGUCUAUAAUAAUAUACUAAAUAUUGACUGAAUGCUGAAUUCAUCCAGUACUGGUUUAGUUAUAUUGGAGAUAACAUUUCAAUUUAGCUUAAAGAUAAGUCACAUAGAGGUGUUGCUGUCUUUGUUUUUUGUUCAGUGCACCAGUUGAAGGGUUAACAGAAAAUGAAGAUCAUAUGGGCUCAAAUGCUUUGUAAAAUUUUACAGGAAUGUCCUAUCUAAAGGGAUGCAUUUCACCUCUGAAUUUCAAAAGGAAAUCUCUUGAUAUUUUAUUGCCAUUUAACAUGUAUCUGCAGAUGAAAAGUGAAGUUACUGCUGUAGAACAUUUAUGCUUACAUUCUCUGGAACUGCUCGCGUGUCUGGGCUCCUGAAUCUAAACUAAUAAAUACAGAGAUGUUAAAGAGAGCAGUUUUGUGGGGGUUUUAGGGGCUUAUGAAGGGUAAUCCAAAAGUUACCUCAAUCAUAACAUCUUCCCUUGGUUUUAGAUCUGUUUGCUAGCAUGUAACUAACUUCAGCAUUUUUAAGUGUUUCUUACUCCUCUGUUAACAGCUAAGAAAAAAUAUUACUUGGUGAGUGUAGAAAAAUGGUACCAUUUCAGCAUAAAGGAAACAGAACAUUUUCCAGUAAUAAAAGAUAGUUGGAGCAGUAGACAUCAGUUGGGUGCACAAAUGAAGCCUCCUCAGCUCACCUUUCUCUGACUUCCCAAAACUGAGGAAAGGCUAAUGAACUGAAAGAUGGAGAUGGAUGUGAGUGACAGGGAAAACAAUGACAUCAUUCUGCCCAGGAGAGGAGCUGGGAAGAUUUGUAAGCAGUACUUGAAAUGGAAGUGAAUUGGUGAGUAGUAAAUAGAUCACCAAUCAUUGACAUCCUUCUCUCCUCAUACAGAGGUUUAUGAGCAGAACCAUGAACAGAUUGUGGUUUUGUUUAUUGGUUAAGAAGUUACCAUUUUUACAUUAAUAUUGAAUUAUCAAAGCCCUGUUUUCCUAGCUGAGAUGUUACAUCUUAUUAUGAACAUGUGAGAAGAGACAAUGGAUCUCCCUUUCCUGUGCCUAGCAAUUCUGUAAUACUGUUAUAAAGAUGACAUAUAGGCAUUCUCAGUAUUGUUAAAAGAAAACAAGCAGAAAAGGAUGGUUCUCAUGGAUCCCUAUUGUGUAUCGGAGUACCUGGAGGGACUCUUUCUUUUACAGUUAAGUAUUAAGAAUGAUAUCACAUCUAAGGCAUGUAAUGACAUACUAUUUCCUUAAAUGCUACUAAAGUAUCUAGUGUAGAAAGUUGUAGUUGCUGCUUGUGCUAUAUUCUGUUAUGUAGGAGAAAACAAUAAAAGUUAUUCCUAUAUAAAAGCAAUGCAAAAAACCUUUCUAUUGCAAUUAUUUUUUUUCAUAGAAAAAAAUAAUUUAAAAAAAGAACGAGCAGCUAGUUUGUAAUGUUACAAUUUCUUUGUAAACUGACAGGUUAUUGGUUUUUUUCAGAAUAAUUUAUGGCAUUUGCUAUUGAGUAUUUAAUGUGCAACCUUUUUUGUUAUACUGAGAAUCAUUGUUUUCUUGAUAUUGAUGAUGUAUGUGUUUUUGCACUUAACCAAAUGCAACAACAUCAUAACUGCAAAGCUCACCCUUGUGCCAUGGAAGUAAAUCAUAAUAUAUUUUUCAGUCACCUUUCUUUUCAGCCUAGCUCAAGAAAUAAGACGUUUAUCAAAUUCAUGAGGAAAAAAAAGUUCUAGUGAGAUUAAGAUGUGACAAACAUCUCCCAAAAUCACCAAAUGAGCCUUGAAGAGCAGUGUUACUCGCCCUCUAAUAUGCACAGGCUUGCUGUAAUGAUUCUGAAUACCAAGUGAAUAGCC